Entelurus aequoreus (snake pipefish) is the source of this 1051-nucleotide long non-coding RNA. RefSeq lists it as uncharacterized. NCBI's taxonomy places the organism in Eukaryota, Metazoa, Chordata, Actinopteri, Syngnathiformes, Syngnathidae. The transcript is spliced from 3 exons. The record is from RefSeq and is a predicted model, not a curated record.
CAAGGAGGACCGGGUGAAUGCGCGCAGGCUGGGAAGGAAUCCCCAGGACUACCCAGCAGACCCGCAGGCUACCGGAGCGAACCCCCAGAACCCCACAACACGCAGGGGCAGAGGAAACUCUGCCUCCAAAGAGCGAUCGGGACCCAGAGACCUGCAUGUGACCCCCGGGAAAGACCGAGAGGCGGAGCGAGCCGGGACAAGUACGGCCACUUAGGUCCCGCGAGUGACCGGAGACUGGCGAGGAGGGCGGGCGUACCCAACACUUCUACGCGGAACUACAGCAGGGGCAGGGGAAAACCCUGCCUUGUGUUUUCAGCAGAGGACAACUCUACUGCAGAGAGGGACACUGCGCUAUCUUCGGCUGCCACGCUGCCAGUCUCACUAUGCGAGAGACACUACAGCAAACCAUUAGACGGCGGAAGAUGGCCUUAAACUGGCAUGCAGAUGGAUUGAUGUUCCAGCCGCCAUACAUGGAAAGGACACAAUACAGAAUUACACCCAAGAAGACAAUACAACAAGAACCUCCAAGAAAGCACUGUAUAAUGUUCAUUCAAAACAGCCCAUCCAUCGGUAAUGUAUAAUCAACAAUUCUUGAGUGCCUUCUACAGGGAUGCAAACUUACAGAGAAUGAGAAUUGUAAACAGCUAUUAGGGCAGAUAGAUAAUUAGUUUGCAUCCAUGUUCUUAGAAACGGGAUCAGUUUGUUGUUUAACUUGCACAGUGUACUUUUUGGACACAUAACUAACUUAGAGGAAUGUCAUUGCAGAAAUGUGAGAACAGGAGACCAUGAGACUAUGAGAACACAUUAAAUGCAUACCAUUUUGACAACUACAUGUAGUUGAUAAUGUUGUGUAAUACGGACCAUUUAAAAACAUGCAUAACCUGAAACACUCGUCAGUCAAUCAAAAUUUAUAUCUAUAAGGGCUCGAAAGGCUUUACAAACUCACAAAAUCUGAUCUGAUUUGGGGCGGUAUAGCUCGGUUGGUAGAGUGGCCGUGCCAGCAACUUGAGGGUUCCAGGUUCGAUCCCCGCUUCCGCCAUCCUAGUCACUG